RNAcentral lists this transfer RNA (73 nucleotides) under Marmota monax (woodchuck). RNAcentral's name for it is "tRNA.Ala". Lineage: Eukaryota; Metazoa; Chordata; Mammalia; Rodentia; Sciuridae. The record is from RNAcentral.
UGGGGUUGUAGCUCAGAGGCAGAGUGCUUGCCUAGCAUGUGUGAGGCACUGGGUUUGAUUCUCAGCACCACAA